UACGGAGGGAGCUAGCGUUGUUCGGAAUUACUGGGCGUAAAGCGCACGUAGGCGGCUUUGUAAGUUAGAGGUGAAAGCCCGGGGCUCAACUCCGGAACUGCCUUUAAGACUGCUGGUCUUGAGUUCGAGAGAGGUGAGUGGAAUUCCGAGUGUAGAGGUGAAAUUCGUAGAUAUUCGGAGGAACACCAGUGGCGAAGGCGGCUCACUGGCUCGACACUGACGCUGAGGUGCGAAAGCGUGGGGAGCAAACAGG
Molecule: ribosomal RNA, 253 nt
Filed under: uncultured bacterium
Lineage: Bacteria
Description: partial 16S ribosomal RNA
Rfam family: Bacterial small subunit ribosomal RNA
Source: RNAcentral